AAAGCGGACCGACGGGGAGCUUGCUCCCUUAGGUCAGCGGCGGACGGGUGAGUAACACGUGGGUAACCUGCCUGUAAGACUGGGAUAACUCCGGGAAACCGGGGCUAAUACCGGAUGCUUGAUUGAACCGCAUGGUUCAAUCAUAAAAGGUGGCUUUUAGCUACCACUUACAGAUGGACCCGCGGCGCAUUAGCUAGUUGGUGAGGUAACGGCUCACCAAGGCGACGAUGCGUAGCCGACCUGAGAGGGUGAUCGGCCACACUGGGACUGAGACACGGCCCAGACUCCUACGGGAGGCAGCAGUAGGGAAUCUUCCGCAAUGGACGAAAGUCUGACGGAGCAACGCCGCGUGAGUGAUGAAGGUUUUCGGAUCGUAAAACUCUGUUGUUAGGGAAGAACAAGUACCGUUCGAAUAGGGCGGCACCUUGACGGUACCUAACCAGAAAGCCACGGCUAACUACGUGCCAGCAGCCGCGGUAAUACGUAGGUGGCAAGCGUUGUCCGGAAUUAUUGGGCGUAAAGCGCGCGCAGGCGGUUUCUUAAGUCUGAUGUGAAAGCCCCCGGCUCAACCGGGGAGGGUCAUUGGAAACUGGGGAACUUGAGUGCAGAAGAGGAGAGUGGAAUUCCACGUGUAUCGGUGAAAUGCGUAGAGAUGUGGAGGAACACCAUUGGCGAAGGCAACUCUCUGGUCUGUAACUGACGCUGAGGCGCGAAUCGUGGGGAAAAACAGGAUUAUAUACCCUGGUAUUUCACCCCGUA
This 759-nucleotide ribosomal RNA is filed under the name Bacillus licheniformis. RNAcentral describes it as "bacterial SSU rRNA". It matches the Rfam family "Bacterial small subunit ribosomal RNA", at positions 58 to 804 of the family's 1533-position model. The record is from RNAcentral. Lineage: Bacteria; Bacillati; Bacillota; Bacilli; Caryophanales; Bacillaceae.